UACGUAGGGGGCAGGCGUUAUCCGGAAUUACUGGGUGUAAAGGGAGCGUAGACGGUAAUGUAAGUCUGGAGUGAAAGGCGGGGGCCCAACCCCCGGACUGCUCUGGAAACUAUGUUACUAGAGUGCAGGAGAGGUAAGCGGAAUACCUAGUGUAGCGGUGAAAUGCGUAGAUAUUAGGAGGAACACCAGUGGCGAAGGCGGCUUACUGGACUGUAACUGACGUUGAGGCUCGAAAGCGUGGGGAGCAAACAGG
RNAcentral lists this ribosomal RNA (253 nucleotides) under uncultured bacterium. Its description in RNAcentral is "partial 16S ribosomal RNA". It matches the Rfam family "Bacterial small subunit ribosomal RNA", at positions 524 to 776 of the family's 1533-position model. The record is from RNAcentral.